RNAcentral lists this transfer RNA (72 nucleotides) under Diutina rugosa. Its description in RNAcentral is "Candida rugosa tRNA". It matches the Rfam family "tRNA". Rfam says of the family: Transfer RNA (tRNA) molecules are approximately 80 nucleotides in length. Their secondary structure includes four short double-helical elements and three loops (D, anti-codon, and T loops). Further hydrogen bonds mediate the characteristic L-shaped molecular structure. tRNAs have two regions of fundamental functional importance: the anti-codon, which is responsible for specific mRNA codon recognition, and the 3' end, to which the tRNAs corresponding amino acid is attached (by aminoacyl-tRNA synthetases). tRNAs cope with the degeneracy of the genetic code in two manners: having more than one tRNA (with a specific anti-codon) for a particular amino acid; and 'wobble' base-pairing, i.e. permitting non-standard base-pairing at the 3rd anti-codon position. Lineage: Eukaryota; Fungi; Ascomycota; Pichiomycetes; Serinales; Debaryomycetaceae. The record is from Rfam by way of RNAcentral. RNAcentral also lists the same sequence under 1 other name.
GCCCUCUUAGCUCAGCGGUAGAGCAUCUCACUUGUAAUGAGAAGGUCAACGGUUCGACCCCGUUAGUGGGCA